AGCAGAGAUGCUUUGGUGCCUUCGGGAACUGUGAGACAGGUGCUGCAUGGCUGUCGUCAGCUCGUGUUGUGAAAUGUUGGGUUAAGUCUCGCAACGAGCGCAACCCUUAUCCUUUGUUGCCAGCGGUCCGGCCGGGAACUCAAAGGAGACUGCCAGUGAUAAACUGGAGGAAGGUGGGGAUGACGUCAAGUCAUCAUGGCCCUUACGACCAGGGCUACACACGUGCUACAAUGGCAUAUACAAAGAGAAGCGACCUCGCGAGAGCAAGCGGACCUCAUAAAGUAUGUCGUAGUCCGGAUUGGAGUCUGCAACUCGACUCCAUG
Molecule: ribosomal RNA, 323 nt
Filed under: Pseudomonas aeruginosa
Lineage: Bacteria; Pseudomonadati; Pseudomonadota; Gammaproteobacteria; Pseudomonadales; Pseudomonadaceae
Description: bacterial SSU rRNA
Rfam family: Bacterial small subunit ribosomal RNA
Source: RNAcentral